CCUACGGGAGGCAGCAGUGAGGAAUAUUGGUCAAUGGGCGGAAGCCUGAACCAGCCAAGUAGCGUGAAGGAUGACUGCCCUACGCGUUGUAAACUUCUUUUAUAAAGGAAUAAAGGGAGGCACGUGUGCCUUUUUGUGUGUACUUGAUGAAUAAGGAUCGGCUAACUCCGUGCCAGCAGCCGCGGUAAUACGGAGGAUCCGAGCGUUAUCCGGAUUUAUUGGGUUUAAAGGGAGCGUAGAUGGGUUGUUAAGUCAGUUGUGAAAGUUUGCGGCUCAACCGUAAAAUUGCAAGUGAUACUGGCAGGCUUGAGUACAGUUGAGGUAGGCGGAAUUCGUGGUGUAGCGGUGAAAUGCUUAG
RNAcentral lists this ribosomal RNA (358 nucleotides) under uncultured bacterium. RNAcentral's name for it is "partial 16S ribosomal RNA". It matches the Rfam family "Bacterial small subunit ribosomal RNA", at positions 338 to 693 of the family's 1533-position model. The record is from RNAcentral.